UUAAUGUCUUGUAAUUGGAAUGAUGGGAAUUUAAACCUCUUCCAGAGUAUCAAUUGGAGGGCAAGUCUGGUGCCAGCAGCCGCGGUAAUUCCAGCUCCAAUAGCGUAUAUUAAAAUUGUUGCAGUUAAAAAGCUCGUAGUUGAAUUUCUGCUGCAUUACAUAUCUCUUGUUUGAGUUUGUUUUUGUGGCUUAUUUCGGUUUGAUUUUUUCUUUCCGGAUGAUUACUUUGAGAAAAUUAGAGUGCUCAAAGCAGGCUUUUGCCUUGAAUAGUUUAGCAUGGAAUAAUAAAGUAGGACUUUGGUUCUAUUUUGUUGGUUUUAGGUACCAAAGUAAUGGUUAAUAGGAACAGUUGGGGGCAUUCGUAUUUAAC
This 370-nucleotide ribosomal RNA is filed under the name Theileria orientalis. RNAcentral's name for it is "SSU rRNA". It matches the Rfam family "Eukaryotic small subunit ribosomal RNA", at positions 495 to 902 of the family's 1831-position model. The record is from RNAcentral. Lineage: Eukaryota; Apicomplexa; Aconoidasida; Piroplasmida; Theileriidae.